AGUGAACGCUGGCGGUAGGCCUAACACAUGCAAGUCGAACGGCAGCACAGUAAGAGCUUGCUCUUACGGGUGGCGAGUGGCGGACGGGUGAGGAAUACAUCGGACUCUACUUUUUCGUGGGGGAUAACGUAGGGAAACUUACGCUAAUACCGCAUACGACCUACGGGUGAAAGCAGGGGAUCUUCGGACCUUGCGCGAUUGAAUGAGCCGAUGUCGGAUUAGCUAGUUGGCGGGGUAAAGGCCCACCAAGGCGACGAUCCGUAGCUGGUCUGAGAGGAUGAUCAGCCACACUGGAACUGAGACACGGUCCAGACUCCUACGGGAGGCAGCAGUGGGGAAUAUUGGACAAUGGGCGCAAGCCUGAUCCAGCCAUACCGCGUGGGUGAAGAAGGCCUUCGGGUUGUAAAGCCCUUUUGUUGGGAAAGAAAAGCAGCAGGUUAAUACCACGCUGUUCUGACGGUACCCAAAGAAUAAGCACCGGCUAACUUCGUG
Molecule: ribosomal RNA, 492 nt
Filed under: uncultured bacterium
Lineage: Bacteria
Description: partial 16S ribosomal RNA
Rfam family: Bacterial small subunit ribosomal RNA
Source: RNAcentral